CCAACUACUACGUGAGGCCCAUCAUGAACGCUGUGAGUUUGGAGAAGGCGGCUAAUGAUCUCCCAGUGCGCCUCUUUACCCAGACAGCACGGCAGGAUGAUUCAGCAGUGGCACGGCCGUGAUGCUGACAGCACUGUUGCCAAAAUGACUCAUCCUGAUGAUGAAGCCAAAGAAAGAAAAAGGAGAGAAAACCUCAUGAGCUCAAGACGGUUGCUGCUGAUUCUGCUCAGUGUCAGCCUUUUUCCAUGCUGAAGAGGACAUGGAUCAAAGCAAGAUCAACUCACUGUGGAACUUUCUCACCAUCCUUUAUAAAACAAGUCAAAGUAUCCAUUCAUUAAUCACUACCCACCCAGCACAAAUAAACAGCUUGCACCAAGUAUCGACUAUAUGCAUUGUAAAGCGGAGCAUGGUCCAUAUGGGCAGCCACAAUGUGUCUCCCCUCUUUUCUCUAGUUUGGCCUCAAAACUGACAGUUGGUAGAUUAGUUAACCAAAAAAUGCAAGUAAUUCAUCAUGGAGACGGGGGUUUAAUGUAAACAGUAUGUUGCCCCUAGAGGUUGUUUCCAUGAUGAUGAAGGGAGGAGAUGAGCCAGAUGGAUCUCUGCAUACAAUUUAUGACGCCAAUAAAUCAGUAUAAACACACACACACACACACACACACACACACACACACGUCUUUUAAGAGGUUCCCAAAAAGAACAAUGUGUCCAGUUCAUUAUGUUAUGUUAUUGACAGCGGCAGGGAGAGUGACUGGAGAGUAUGAAGUUAAAACUUCUUCGGGAUCGGUGUCCCUUCCACGGGACGGUUGAGCUAACGUAGGCUAAUGCGAUUAGCAUGAGGUUGUAAGUUACAAGAAAUUUCCCCAGGAGAUAGUC
Molecule: long non-coding RNA, 873 nt
Filed under: Salmo salar (Atlantic salmon)
Lineage: Eukaryota; Metazoa; Chordata; Actinopteri; Salmoniformes; Salmonidae
Description: lncRNA (ENSSSAG00000112325.1, ENSSSAG00020079000.1, ENSSSAG00075005801.1)
Source: RNAcentral